Molecule: long non-coding RNA, 778 nt
Organism: Astatotilapia calliptera (eastern happy)
Lineage: Eukaryota; Metazoa; Chordata; Actinopteri; Cichliformes; Cichlidae
Source: Ensembl
AUUCCUAAUGGAGAGCCAGAAGUUUCCAUAAUUAGGUUAUCUAAUCUUCUCCAGGUUUGGGUAGUGACUGCAGCACUCUGAGCAGAGAAUCCCAGACUUCCCUGACCCUGGCCACCUCUUCCAGCUCAUCAGAGAGGACACAGUCUUUCCCAACAUGUACACAUUAUGCUUACGUGUGGACGACUUUAAUGCACAAGGCUAAGAGGCAGGCAUGACCCUGGAUUCACAUGCACGAGCCUUGCUAAUAGAUUCACGGAGAUGGAAUUAGAGGAAAGUAGUUGCAGGGAGGGAGGUUUUAACAUGAUUUGUAACAGGAUCAAACUGCAUUUGCAUUGGAAUUGACAACUGAAUUUGCAUCACUGACCAAAACAUUCAAGUCCAAUCUUCUAAAUAUAUAAAUUCAUUUAUAAAUGGUUGUUCUGUGAUGUACGUUUAUUGUCCCAGUGUUAGCUGUAUAUAUGUCUGCGUGUAGAGCUUUUAUGACCAUUUAUACAAUGCUAAAAUAAACAUUGUGUGAUUGGUGUUUAUCUGUGCAUAUGAGCACAAAAUAAAGUAUCCCAGUGGUAUAGUAGCACUGAAAUUUAAUUAGCUCAUGGACACUUUUUGGCAAUAGCCUCUACUCUGAUCCUUACCAGAUGUACCUGACUCCUCAGACUAUCAGAUAUUUUACUCUCACCUUAGGAAACUCACAGGCUUGAUGGGUAAUUUUCAAUGCUCACUAUACAGUUAUUUUUCAAGCUGUUUGGAGAAAUCCAGGAAUUAAACUGACAGCUCGACA